This 448-nucleotide ribosomal RNA is filed under the name uncultured bacterium. RNAcentral's name for it is "bacterial SSU rRNA". It matches the Rfam family "Bacterial small subunit ribosomal RNA", at positions 64 to 507 of the family's 1533-position model. The record is from RNAcentral.
GAGCGGAUGACGGGAGCUUGCUCCUUGAUUCAGCGGCGGACGGGUGAGUAAUGCCUAGGAAUCUGCCUGGUAGUGGGGGACAACGUUUCGAAAGGAACGCUAAUACCGCAUACGUCCUACGGGAGAAAGCAGGGGACCUUUGGGCCUUGCGCUAUCAGAUGAGCCUAGGUCGGAUUAGCUAGUUGGUGGGGUAAUGGCUCACCAAGGCGACGAUCCGUAACUGGUCUGAGAGGAUGAUCAGUCACACUGGAACUGAGACACGGUCCAGACUCCUACGGGAGGCAGCAGUGGGGAAUAUUGAACAAUGGGCGAAAGCCUGAUCCAGCCAUGCCGCGUGUGUGAAGAAGGUCUUCGGAUUGUAAAGCACUUUAAGUUGGGAGGAAGGGCAGUAAGUUAAUACCUUGCUGUUUUGACGUUACCGACAGAAUAAGCACCGGCUAAUUCUGUG